GGAUAUCGAGGGGGGGGUCCUUUGGGCCCACCUCCCAUCCGUGUCUAUUGUACCCUGUUGCUUCGGCGGGCCCGCCGCUUGUCGGCCGCCGGGGGGGCGCCUCUGCCCCCCGGGCCCGUGCCCGCCGGAGACCCCAACACGAACACUGUCUGAAAGCGUGCAGUCUGAGUUGAUUGAAUGCAAUCAGUUAAAACUUUCAACAAUGGAUCUCUUGGUUCCGGCAUCGAUGAAGAACGCAGCGAAAUGCGAUAACUAAUGUGAAUUGCAGAAUUCAGUGAAUCAUCGAGUCUUUGAACGCACAUUGCGCCCCCUGGUAUUCCGGGGGGCAUGCCUGUCCGAGCGUCAUUGCUGCCCUCAAGCCCGGCUUGUGUGUUGGGUCGCCGUCCCCCUCUCCGGGGGGACGGGCCCGAAAGGCAGCGGCGGCACCGCGUCCGAUCCUCGAGCGUAUGGGGCUUUGUCACAUGCUCUGUAGGAUUGGCCGGCGCCUGCCGACGUUUUCCAACCAUUCUUUCCAGGUUGACCUCGGAUCAGGUAGGGAUACCCGCUGAACUUAAGCAUAUCAAUAAGCGGAGGGA
This 575-nucleotide ribosomal RNA is filed under the name Aspergillus niger. Its description in RNAcentral is "eukaryotic LSU rRNA". The stretch from base 192 to 345 matches the Rfam family "5.8S ribosomal RNA". Lineage: Eukaryota; Fungi; Ascomycota; Eurotiomycetes; Eurotiales; Aspergillaceae. The record is from RNAcentral.